GCCUGGGUGGCUCAGUCAGUUAAACAUCUGACUUUGGCUCAGGUCAUGAUCUUGCAGUUCAUGGGUUCAAGCCCCACCUCAGGCG
Molecule: transfer RNA, 85 nt
Filed under: Felis catus (domestic cat)
Lineage: Eukaryota; Metazoa; Chordata; Mammalia; Carnivora; Felidae
Rfam family: tRNA
About the family: Transfer RNA (tRNA) molecules are approximately 80 nucleotides in length.
Source: Rfam by way of RNAcentral